Molecule: ribosomal RNA, 489 nt
Filed under: uncultured bacterium
Lineage: Bacteria
Description: bacterial SSU rRNA
Rfam family: Bacterial small subunit ribosomal RNA
Source: RNAcentral
AUGGCUCAGGAUGAACGCUGGCGGCGUGCCUAACACAUGCAAGUCGAACGGAGUGUCGAGAGCUUGCUUUGACACUUAGUGGCGGACGGGUGAGUAAUGUAUGAGCAACCUGCCUUUCAGAGGGGGACAACAGUUGGAAACGACUGCUGAUACCGCAUAACGUGCGGGGAGGGCAUCCUCCCUGUACCAAAGGAGCAAUCCGCUGAAAGAUGGGCUCAUAUCUGAUUAGUUAGUUGGCAGGGUAACGGCCUACCAAGACUGCGAUCAGUAGCCGGACUGAGAGGUUGAACGGCCACAUUGGGACUGAGAUACGGCCCAGACUCCUACGGGAGGCAGCAGUGGGGAAUAUUGGGCAAUGGGCGAAAGCCUCGACCCAGCAACGCCGCGUGAAGGAAGAAGGUCUUCGGAUUGUAAACUUCUUUUAUGAGGGACGAAGGACGUGACGGUACCUCAUGAAUAAGCCACGGCUAACUACGUGCCAGCCGCCGC